UAUAUAUUUUUUCUCUUACAUUAAAGACAUAACAGUGAAAAAGGAUUGUACUGUAUUUAUCACCACAGACCCGUAUUCUUUAGAAACUUUGGAAAAUAAAUGUCACAGUCCUAUAGGACAGCUCUUAUGAUUAGACUGUCAGCAUGUUGUCUUUUUUCUCUCGCCUGGCCCCUGCCCUUGGGUCCCGGACAGCUGGUGGGAGCCAGAUCAGGAGCACGCCGGCAUCAUUCUGAAAUAAACUUUAGUGACAACGUCAAAAUGUUCAAGGCUUUAAAACCACAACGUGUUUUGUGUUGCUUUCACUCUUGUAGAAUGUUCACAGCUAGUUUGAGCCCAUCAAUUUCAUAGAGAA
This 352-nucleotide long non-coding RNA is filed under the name Bos taurus (domestic cattle). Its description in RNAcentral is "long non-coding RNA NONBTAT005905". Lineage: Eukaryota; Metazoa; Chordata; Mammalia; Artiodactyla; Bovidae. The record is from RNAcentral.